This 2356-nucleotide long non-coding RNA is filed under the name Medicago truncatula (barrel medic). RNAcentral describes it as "lncRNA gene32482". Lineage: Eukaryota; Viridiplantae; Streptophyta; Magnoliopsida; Fabales; Fabaceae. The record is from RNAcentral.
GAGAUUCAAUAUUAGUCUAAAAAAAUACAAUACAAUCAUAGAAUACACAAUCACAAUUUCAAAUAUAGGUUAGCAAUCACAGAUUUUGAAGCCAAAGCCAAACAAGCCCUUUUACAUCCAACAACUUUCCCUUCCUUUUGCACAAGUCCAAAUGGACAAGAAACACUCAAAUCAUCUUCAUAACUAGCAACACCACAACCUACACCACCACUUACUAAACUAGUCACACAUAUACAAUGAUAUUUAUACUUGCAAAACAAGUAAACAGUUACUUGUUACACAAGUCAACUAGUUCCAACUAAACUUAGUUUACUAUCCACAAGCUGGAAACUGUCUUGUUCUCUGAGACCCUGAACUCUAUCAAUGGUGCACUCCUAAUCAGUUGCAUUUUCUUCAUCAUAAGUAGGAUUACUUAACAAAGUGUUCAUCAAUGCUUUAAUAGAGGUGUUUUUCAUUUGCCAAUCCCAUGAUUCAAAUUCAUUCAUGAUGUCAUCUUUGCGAACGAAAAUAUUUUCUAUGCUAUAUGAUAGGACACGACACAUUGUGAUAUCAACAUAUAAAAACAUAAAAAGCCUGCAACCAUUAAAUAGAUGAAAUAGACCAAAACAUUAGACAGACACGACACGACACAUACAUACUCUUUUUACUCGUAAACAAAAUGUUGAGCCACUUUUAAACUUGAUUUUGUUUGGAAUUUGAUCAAGAGAUUUACUGGCAUAAACACUGCAAUAUUGCAUAAUUAUUUUGAACAAUAUUUAUUAUAGAAACUUGUUUAAAAAAUAAAUUUAGCAAUACGAAUUUUAUUUAUAUUUCUAACAAUAGAUCAUCCCAAGUUUAACUGCUUUUUUAAUAGAAAUUGCCAAUUCAUCGUAAGCAAUUUCCCAAGCAGUAUUUAGUUCUUCGCUCCAGUUGUCCCCCGAUGCUUCCUUUAUUGUUUUUAACAAAGCUUCUUUAACCACCUACAAGACACCAAAAAAAUUAAUUUUGGUUUAGCGAUUUAAAACUUACAAAUGGGUGUAUUAACAUAAUUGAAAAAUACUUAUUGAAAACUAAUUUAUUUUCAGAUAAAAGUUAUUAAAUCAAAUAUUAUUUUACCAUACAUCCUUAAUAAUUAAGGGGACCAAUUCAAUUUUAUUUUUGAGGAGACAUUCAAAUAUAUACUUAAAUAUAUUUUAUUAUAUUAUCAUACCACAAAAUGAGGAUCAACAACUCCUCUUUGAAUGUGGAUAGCACCCACUUUAGUAUAUCCCAAAACUACUUCUCCAGUUGCUCGAAGUUGAACAGCCGCAUCACGCACCUAUAAUACAGAAAAUAUAAACAUCUUAAGACCGAUAGCCAUAGACUAUUCGUAAAAUAUACUAAUAGUGUUUGAUAUUAUUCUUUGGUGUUAAAGUAUAUUUGCAAUUCCAAAUAUUGUGAUUGUGCGAUUUUGGACACCGUUGAUUUAGAGCUACGUGUGACACUUAUGUUUUCCGUCUUUGUAAUUUAGUAUCAUAAACCAUUUUUUCUUCCUAAAUUUAAAUUAAUGUGACAUUGUUAAUUGAAAUGACACCAAAGUUUCAUAGCCAACGCAAAUUUUCUUUGAAAAAAAAAUAAAAAUCGUGAAUUUAAAAAGGAGUGAAAUUUUAAAGGAAAAUGUUAACUUUUGUCUUUAAAGUACAAGUUAAAAAGCUAAACAUAGAAGAAAUUUCUUGGAAUUUGUAAAUUUUAUCAUAUAGUUAUUUGGAUUUUUUUGUUUUGUUUGAAAUUUGGUAUCUAGUUCAAAAACUUAAUAAUAUGAAAUAUCAAUCUCAGCGUUUAGUAGUAGAGACCCAAUUGAAAGCAAAACCAUGUAUAAACUACCCCAACAUUUUUGGAUCAUAUUUAUCAAGGGAAAAUAAAUUAAAUUAAGAAUAUACAAAAUACAUGUAUUUGAAAAGAUUUUAUAGUUAUUAAUUUAAAGAGAACCAUAGACGCUGAAUGAAGAAUAAAAAAAAUUAGUUGAUGUUGGUUGCACUCACCAUUUGAAACACCUUUUCAGCAUGGGCUUGAAGUUGAGGACUAUCUUUUACCUCAGGCGUGUUCUUAAGAAAAGAGAACAUGCCCUUUGCUGCAGGUGCUUUCUCUAAUAUACUAAUUUAAUCAAAAUAACCAAACAUAUUCUUGUUAAUUAAUUUACACAAUCUUUUUAAACCGUAAGUAAGCAAAAAAGGAAAGUACAAACUAACUCAUGCAAUAUGAUACUUACAUAGUGUAGAACAAGACACUAUAGCCGGGAAGAUUUUGUUUAAAUGAUUCCCAUGAGCUAUUCACUAAAAACUCUUGCUUCUCAGUGAAUCCCAUUUUUCUCUUCUUCUUUUCUAAUUUUGUUGUUGUU